CGACAUUUGUACACCUGUAACCAGGGCACCCCGCCUGCAUGUAGCUCAGAUCCACUGCCCGCUGAUCACACAUCUCACAUCCUGCCACUCGGUGAGGAUCUGCCAGCCAGCCGCCCAAGGACUGGAAUCUGUUUGCCCAGUAUGCCAGUGUUGACAUGAUACCUCAUGAUUUGAUACGGAUAAAGUCAGGAACCUGCAGAAAUAAAGUGGAGCCCCUGUGUUUGUGGAUUAAACAGUUAUCACUAGGUAAGCAAACCAUUGAGUCUCACCGUGGAAAUGUAACGAGCCUCUCUCUGUAAACUAUAACAUGUGGAGACAGUGAGUAGGAAUCACAAACCUUGUUCUAACACAGCAGCAACAAACCUAUCCAUAACAAUACAAACGUUUAACACAUUAUGAUCUACAAAAGUUUCCAUGUGUGCUGGUUUUCCUGAGACCCAUCCAGCAAAAAUGCAUUGAAACCUGAGGACGAGGCAAAGCAAGGCUCUGGCAGUUUCUGUAAACAAGCCUUUGAUGCAUGAUGGAUGACUAAUAUUGUGACAUCACUACAAUAAUUGUCUUUAUUACGUAAAAAAAAAAUAGCACAAAGUAUUAUUUUUCUAAACUAAUCUCUGAAAGAUUUAAUCAAACUAAAGGUCUUGAAUGAUUAAACUCGCAUGAAUUAACACUGUUUAUCGUUGUAACCAAUUGAUAUUGAACACCUGCAUUAAAAUCAUGCAAAUUUACUGUACAUCUCUUCACUACUAUGGGCCAGUUUCAAUACCCACACUUGCUCUCUUGGCCACUACAAAGUGGACACAAGUCUGUCCCAGGUCUGAAUAAUGCCAACGCUCAGUGGCUUUAAAUUUCACUAGAUAUCUAGGCUAAGCAUAUCCCAUCAUUCUUUAUGUUUAGCAAUUGAAAGA
Carassius auratus (goldfish) is the source of this 905-nucleotide long non-coding RNA. RefSeq lists it as uncharacterized. Lineage: Eukaryota; Metazoa; Chordata; Actinopteri; Cypriniformes; Cyprinidae. The record is from RefSeq and is a predicted model, not a curated record. The transcript is spliced from 2 exons.